RNAcentral lists this ribosomal RNA (305 nucleotides) under Escherichia coli. RNAcentral's name for it is "partial 16S ribosomal RNA". It matches the Rfam family "Bacterial small subunit ribosomal RNA", at positions 1 to 302 of the family's 1533-position model. Lineage: Bacteria; Pseudomonadati; Pseudomonadota; Gammaproteobacteria; Enterobacterales; Enterobacteriaceae. RNAcentral also lists the same sequence under 1 other name. The record is from RNAcentral.
AAAUUGAAGAGUUUGAUCAUGGCUCAGAUUGAACGCUGGCGGCAGGCCUAACACAUGCAAGUCGAACGGUAACAGGAAGCAGCUUGCUGCUUCGCUGACGAGUGGCGGACGGGUGAGUAAUGUCUGGGAAACUGCCUGAUGGAGGGGGAUAACUACUGGAAACGGUAGCUAAUACCGCAUAACGUCGCAAGACCAAAGAGGGGGACCUUCGGGCCUCUUGCCAUCGGAUGUGCCCAGAUGGGAUUAGCUUGUUGGUGGGGUAACGGCUCACCAAGGCGACGAUCCCUAGCUGGUCUGAGAGGAUG